Long non-coding RNA from Canis lupus familiaris (dog), 406 nucleotides. RefSeq lists it as uncharacterized. The record is from RefSeq and is a predicted model, not a curated record. The transcript has 3 exons. Lineage: Eukaryota; Metazoa; Chordata; Mammalia; Carnivora; Canidae.
UUUUUUUUUGACAGGACUACUUCAGAGGUGGGGCUGAACUAUUGUAUCACAUCAUGUGGCACUUGACUGACAGCCACAUUUUCAGUGAUACUACGCAAUAAUCUGUGUAUUCAAUGUAUGAUUACAAAAGCACAUGGACAUGAAGAUACACUCCAAGCCAUGUCACCAUACACAUUCCAAACCAAUUCAAUCAACUGGAAAAGAUUCUGAGAAUCUACCACAUCGGCAAGCAUGGAGGAAGAAUUCUAAGAGGCCCAAGACUGCCACCACCACCUGAUUAUAUCCAUCUAAGAGCCUCAGAGGAAAGGAUAGGUAUCCCCAAGCUCACGGUAUGUAAUAUUUGUCUCUACUUUUCCAAAUGAUAGAGUUGGGGUACCAUUUCCUUCCAUAGGGCAACUGGCCAAUU